UCUCUGGGAGCACACCCUGCGCCCAGCACCGUUCUCGCGGGAUCUCUGGGUGCAGCCAGGGCCUCCCCGCGGUGUUUCUAUGGACCGAAGAUUCAUAUCCUGCGGAGGCCUGCGAUGAAGCCCUCACCCCGGGGUGAUGGGCUUUGGAGGUGGCGCCUUUGGAAGGGCAUUAGGUUCACGUGUGGGCAUGUAGGUGAGGCCCUGCUCGUGUGAUCAGUGACUUUCUAAGAAGAGACACUGCCGUGUGAAGCCAGGUUGAUAAGGUGGCAUCUGCAGGCCGGGAGGCGCACCCGCAUCAAACUCCAGGAUGCCAGCGCCCUGCCCUUGGACUUCCGGCCUCCAGAACCUCCUGGAGAAGUACAUGCCCGUGAAAGCCGCCUGGUCUGCGGAAUUGUGUCGUGGCAGCUGUUGCGGACCGGGGCUCUCUGUCCUGCUCUGUUGGAAAAGCUGACACCCAGAGCAGGUAGGAGAUUGUCCGCAUACUUCAGGCCCGCUAAAGGUUACAUACAAAGGUACUUUGAGGGUGUUUUCGAGUCUGAAGCCACGGAUGCUCGUGCCGAGAUAACCGCAGUGUCAACUGCAGUGUCUGGAUCCCAAGAGUCCAACACUUCCUUUUAGCAUCGUCAGUGUGCUCCUGAGAACACUACAGGCCCCUCUCGAACUUGGUUGUCUUCUAUGAAACAACAGUAACAGUAGACAGUAGCCUUGGAAGCAAUCUUCAGUGUGAAAGUACCAUUUAAUUAUUGUAUUGCGUGUACAAAACACGCUAUAAUAUAUACUAUAUACAAGGUAGUGUGUAUAAUAUUAUUUAUGUU
Sus scrofa (pig) is the source of this 815-nucleotide non-coding RNA. NCBI's taxonomy places the organism in Eukaryota, Metazoa, Chordata, Mammalia, Artiodactyla, Suidae. The record is from RefSeq and is a predicted model, not a curated record.